CGUUGUGUUCACUUUGUGCUAACUCAUUAGGCUGAACAUACGUUAUCUGUGCACUUUUCUAUACUUCAAUGAAAAUACUGAAAGAAUUGGAGUUAGUAAAUAUAGACAACUCGUUUAUUUUCUUUGCAAAGAGGAGCAAAAAAUGAGGUAGACACUUGGAGCAAAGUGACUCAAUAAAAGAAUUUUUGUUUUAAGAUGGAAGCAAUGCAGCAUAUUUAUACUUGUUAUGUGAAUGAUCCACUAGCAAGAAAAACCUGCUUAAGCAGGAGAGGGCGGGGAGCUAGAGCAGCGCUGCUGAGGUGGCGAGAGAGGCUCUAAGAGUGCCCCAACAGUGGGAGACGGGAAGGCAGAUGGGGACAGAUGCUGGCAGGUAAGGAGACGUGACAGCUAGAGUUUGUGGAAGUUCUCUGCUGUUUGUUUCCAUUUUUUCAAGAAAGUAGGCAGCUAAUAGUGAAUACAGGAGAGGAGAUGUGGAAGUUUUGAGUGGAGCAGACGUAAAAUAGUUCCAGAAGGCUGGUUUAGGAAAGUGUACUGCAUUGGUCCACUGUAAGAUCCUAGUGCAGGUUUGUGAGCUUAAGCAAAUCCAGUCAACAUGGUGUUUUCCCUUCACAAUCUGCUGUACCUAUGCAUGCACAAUACCAAUUAAGCAGAAAGUUGGAUUUAACUCUGGUUUUGACAAAGUGAAUAGGAGGGAAAGCAAGUUGAGGCUGAAUGCAAGGAAAUGAUUGCAAGGGACCAGAGAGCGUGAAUCAGAGAGUACAGAAAGAGGCCAUGAAAGGCAGUGAGGAAAAAUGAAAAGGUGGAAGGGUCAAUGGAAGGAAGGCUCCCAGUUGGGUAUUAUUGGAGGUACAGUACUGCGGCCAGUGAGGCAGAAAGACAGAUGGUGGGCUGGGGGACACUGGAGCACUAUAGAAAAAGAGGGCAAGGCAGGCACGCUGAACUCCUGUGCUGAGGAGGGCAAGGCUUAUGGAUGUGUACUGCUGAGGGAGGGGAAGCAUCCAAGCAGCUGAGAGGCCAGAGAGCUAUGAAAUCAUUUGUUUAUGUUCAAGACAGAAAGACAGCCAGAAAUCCUGAACCUUCUGAACAUACAAACAUACCCCCCAAAAUCACACCUGCAUUUCAUCAAGCCUCUAGAGCUGCUGGGUCCAACAAGACGGCCACUAGCCACAUGGGGCUCCUAGGACUUGAAAGGUGGCAAGUGCAACAAAGGAGCAAAAUUUAACAGUAUUUCAUUUAAAUUAACUUGAAUUUAAAAACUGACAUUUGAUUCAGUCAUUGGAAAUUUUUUCAGUGUGUCUGGAAUAACCUGGCUAUGUGAAACGACUUCUUCAACUGCAAAUUUUAUGAAAUCUAAAUACAGAUCAAGUGCUUCUGAAGAUCAAUGGCCUCAAAGGGGCAGUGAGGCAUGAAGGGACAUCGAUCCUACCUCCAGGCCCAGUGACAGGACAGACGGGAGCAGAGACAGCCAAAAGUUUGGAGAGACUGCAGUGGAAGUCCAGACCCCAAGAAAGAGCCAGUUCCAGAUAAUGCAAGAAGGUGUUCUCAAAGAAGAGGUCCCCUUUCAAGUGCUCAAUGACCACAUGUGGCCUUCGCAGCAGUCCUGAAUGGCACAGCACAAGGCUGAGUUGCUGCGGCACAGACCUACAAGGCCUGCAGAGCCUAGAACACUUCCUAUCUGGCCCCAUGGAAACGGUCUGCCAAUCCCUGCUCGCGAGGACUGACGUUUGGUUGCCAGAGGAGCAGGGUUGCCAACUUACCGGCCGUGGUUGCUGAAGGAAUGGUGUUGGUUGCCAAGAUAGGUGCUACUGUUGCUGCAGCCACU
Equus quagga is the source of this 1822-nucleotide long non-coding RNA. RefSeq lists it as uncharacterized. Lineage: Eukaryota; Metazoa; Chordata; Mammalia; Perissodactyla; Equidae. The transcript has 4 exons. The record is from RefSeq and is a predicted model, not a curated record.